Molecule: non-coding RNA, 131 nt
Filed under: Kutzneria viridogrisea DSM 43870
Lineage: Bacteria; Bacillati; Actinomycetota; Actinomycetes; Pseudonocardiales; Pseudonocardiaceae
Source: RNAcentral
UCGGACGUCCUACUCUAUGGUCCGAAAUCGAGCCGCGGUGCAGGGAAGCUGGUGCGAGUCCAGCGCGGUCCCGCCACUGUGACCGGGUGCAGCCCCGGGAGUCAGACACCGGCCGUGGCCGUCACGUGUUG